UACGUAGGGGGCUAGCGUUGUCCGGAAUCAUUGGGCGUAAAGCGCGUGUAGGCGGUCCGGUAAGUCCGCUGUGAAAGUCGGGGGGCUCAACCCUCGGAUGCCGGUGGAUACUGUCGGGCUUGAGUACGGAAGAGGCGAGUGGAAUUCCUGGUGUAGCGGUGAAAUGCGCAGAUAUCAGGAGGAACACCAAUUGCGAAGGCAGCUCGCUGGGACGUUACUGACGCUGGAGACGCGAAAGCGUGGGGAGCAAACAGG
This 255-nucleotide ribosomal RNA is filed under the name uncultured bacterium. Its description in RNAcentral is "partial 16S ribosomal RNA". It matches the Rfam family "Bacterial small subunit ribosomal RNA", at positions 524 to 776 of the family's 1533-position model. The record is from RNAcentral.